Molecule: long non-coding RNA, 2563 nt
Filed under: Hordeum vulgare
Lineage: Eukaryota; Viridiplantae; Streptophyta; Magnoliopsida; Poales; Poaceae
Description: long non-coding RNA (HVUL_LNC009055)
Source: RNAcentral
UUGUGUUUCGAUGCAAGUCGCACUUUUGCCUUAGGCAACAUGUAAGUGACUACAUCGCUUAUCAUCUUAAGGUUAUAUGAUGGGUCUUUUGGAUGUUUAUUUGACACACUUGCACUAUACCGACCCCCCUUUUAGGCGCGUUCCCCUAUUGUUGUUAUUCCUUUCGUCUAUCUAGUUGUUUGACUUGGCUGCUCCAAAUAGGAUGGUGACUGCUACUCGCACCAGUACUUUUGGCAACCCCAGCACACGCGAGUCUAGCCAGCAGCGAGAAGCUCGGUGGGUCUGCUCAAACUGGAGGUCACUAGGAGCAGACACAAGACGAUAUUCCCCUACCACCGCCUCCACCGGAGAACCUAACUAUGGCUCAGCUUCUCCUAGAUCUCCGAAAAGAAUGCCAAGCCAACACUGUGUCUAUCCAUCAGAUGGCCCACGUUCUCGUGAACAACCCGCAGCUCAGCUAGAACGACAAUGGUCGUUCCACUCUGUUAGAGUUCAUGAGGUCUUCGCCGCCGACCUUCACUGAGAUAGCUGAACCUUUGGAUGUUGAUGACUAGAUCCGCACCAUCAAGGACCUCCUUGCAUUGUUCAACUGCAAUGAGGACCGCGAAAAGGUUCUCUAUGCGUCUCACUGCCUCAGAGGUAUUGCCAAAGCUUGGUUGGAUGGAUUCAAGGUCAUGCAAGGUGAGCGUGUUAUCACAUGGGAUGAUUUCAAGCAAGGAUUCCGUACUUGCCAUAUCCCUUCUAGGAUUAUGAUCAUCAAGAAGCGGGAGUUUCCAGCGCUGUAGCAAGGAAGUGGCUCAGUUAAGGAGUACCUAUCAGGGCCGGUUUUCCUGGGAUUUUAAUUCCCAUCAAAAUGACCCAUGUGCAUAGCAGCCCCAAGAAUAUUGUUAGCUAGUACACAAAUCCUUGAUACAAACGUCCAAUCAAAUUACAGAUUUGAAGUUCAUGACCAAGAUGGUCUAUGGAGUACAUCAAAAUGAUUUCUACUUGUUGAUGGCGGAAGCGGUUCAGGGAUCUACAACAUCUAUUGGACUCCAUUCCCAACAGGAACAAUUGACCUGGAUAAUUCCUAUCUCACGCGGUUGCUGUCUUCGGUGCCUAGGUUCCGGGGCUACCACCGGGAUGCACUUUUCCAAAUAUGCAAUCUAGCCAAGACAAUAGCCAGGGACAAGCGAGUGAGUACUUUGAAUGUACUCGCAAACAUCAUGAAAUUAGACAUAAAAUAGCUGGUGAUAAAUGUGCACUUGAAAUCAUUCAAUGAUGUUACCUUAGUCAUAAUCCAACUUCUUAAGUGCAAGCAGACAUAUGUUUUAACCAUACUGAGAAUUUAAUAAGGAAACAAUGAAAGAAAAUUUUAUUGGAACAUCGAAUGGUAGUCCUCCCGAAUAUUUCCAAGAACAGAAAAAUAGUCCGACCGGAUGUGUGGAGCGACGCCUUGAACGGAUAAGAUAUAAAGCAUGCCUUAUUCGGGCGUCUCAGCGACACCAGAUAAAGGGCUUAUAAGAAAUAAUAAGAUACAUGCCAUGGUCGGGCGUCUGAGCGACACCACAUAAAGGGCUUAAAUGAAAUAAUAACAAUCAUGCCACACUUAGGCGUUUGAGCGGAACUGCAUAAAGUUCUUAUUAGAAAUAAUACCAAUGAAUAUUCAGGAGGUAGAACCGUCUCAGGGAUAUUCAACAUUCAUGUAUCAUAAAGGUUAGUCCAUGAUAAAAUAAUAAUUAUGAUCAUCCACCAUAUUUCACGAUUUUCUCAUGGUUAAGUUAACUUCCCCUGAAGACAGACACUUGACGCGUUAACUAGUCGUCCUUGACCGUGUACACGGCUACUCGAAUUGUCUUAGAAAAUUUUCAAAUAAAUAGUAGAAAAUUUGUCUUAGAAAAUUUUCAAAUAAAUAUUAAAAUAAACUAGAUAAUUUUAUGAAGAGGUGAGAAAAAGAAUCAACUCAUUUGAAGUUUUAUUUUAGAAAUUAGAGCGAGUCAAAGUUUGGUCAAUGUUUUGUUUUAAAAUAAAUGAGAAAAGGGAAAACGUUUCGGACGGAAAUACGCAAGCGCGAGGAAAAAACGUACUUCACGGCAUGCGCGGCCACUUAUCCAGCACACGCGUGACUCGCGAGUCACUGACAGUGUGCCGCCUAGCCAAUUGGUCAGGUUUGACCGGUCUCCUCCUUUCUCCUCCUGUGAUAGAACCGGGACGGAGCUCGGCGACCAACACCAGCAAGGGGGGCUUCAUGCGAGGUGGCGAGCACCCGAGGGAGCUCAGGGGGUCACGACGGUCCUGAGGAGGGGAUGCGAGGCCGCCAUAGUGGGCAGAGCCGUCGGCGGCGUGCUAACCCGAAAAGCUCCGACGGGACCAAAAUUUGGGAAUCUCUCUCUGGUGCUCUUGAGGCCGAAUUUGGACCCGGGAUGGAUUCAAGGGAACUCCACGGGGCUUUGGGAGCGAGAGAGGGAGGGGAUAGGGUCUGUUCAGGUCGAAUUCGACCGAGACGGCCAUUGCUACUGGACACGAAGAGGAUGACCCUCUUGGUCUCAAUUGGCUCAAACGGAGGGUUACUGCGGGGCAGUGG